GACGGGGCCCGCACAAGCAGCGGAGCGUGUGGUUUAAUUCGAUGCAACACGAAGAACCUCACCAAGACUUGACAUGACGGAAGUAGUGAACCGAAAGGGAACGACCUGUUAAGUCAGGAGCCGCCACAGGUGCUGCAUGGCUGUCGUCAGCUCGUGCCGUGAGGUGUUGGGUUAAGUCCCGCAACGAGCGCAACCCUCGUUGCCAGUUAAAUUCUCUGGCGAGACUGCCCCGCAAAACGGGGAGGAAGGUGGGGAUGACGUCAAGUCAGCACGGCCCCUAUGUCUUGGGCGACACACACGCUACAAUGGAUGGUACAAUUGGUCGCAAUGGGGUGACCCGGAGCUAAUCCGAAAAACCAUCCACAGUUCGGAUUGCAGGCUGAAACUCGCCUGCAUGAAGCCGGAGUUGCUAGUAAUCGCAGGUCAGCAUACUGCGGUGAAUACGUUCUCGGGCCUU
This 457-nucleotide ribosomal RNA is filed under the name uncultured Chloroflexota bacterium. RNAcentral's name for it is "bacterial SSU rRNA". It matches the Rfam family "Bacterial small subunit ribosomal RNA", at positions 916 to 1381 of the family's 1533-position model. The record is from RNAcentral. Lineage: Bacteria; Bacillati; Chloroflexota.